This 1008-nucleotide long non-coding RNA is filed under the name Equus caballus (horse). RNAcentral's name for it is "lncRNA (ENSECAG00000054723.1)". The record is from RNAcentral. Lineage: Eukaryota; Metazoa; Chordata; Mammalia; Perissodactyla; Equidae.
GCUGCAACUGAGGAAGACAUUGAGAAGACACUGAUGCAACUCUGGAAGGAUUACGACAUCCAUGACUGCAUCAAGGACCUUGGGCUUGGGGUCAUGUCACCAAAAAGUGUAUGAAUUGCAUCUGAAAGAAAACACUCAAGAGGUUCUCUCAUGACUUCAAAGGGUUUGCCAAGGAUGAGGAGGUUGCAAAAAUCAACAAGGCUGUGAUUGAGAUGGCAAACAACUUACCCUGAAUGUGGAUGAGGAUGGCAUGCAGGAGCUCCUAAGGUGGUUCCUGAGGAAUUGACUAAUGAGAAGUUGUUGGAACUGGAACAGGAAUGCAUAGCUGAAGAAGAGGCAAGAGAAAAGGAAACUGCAGGAGGAGAAGAAGAAGAACCUCCAAAAAAAUUCAUAGUGAAGGGUUUAGCAGAAGGUUUGGCAGACCUCAGCAAGCUCCUUAAAAAAUUUGAAAACAUGAACCGCGACACCAAAAGGUUUUCAUUAAUAGAGAGGAAUGUUCAUGGUACGUUAUCUACUUACAAGCAAAUCUGUGAUGAAAAAAAGAAACAAACCAAGCAAACCACCAUGGACAUAUUUCUGAAAAAGAGCGACACCCCCACAAGAGCCUCAGGCAGAAUAAAGACUGCCCUUGAAUCUCUUUGGAAAGGACUAUACCAGGUCGUCCUCACCGUCCAGAUGACAGCCAAACUUCAGGGACUCAAGCCUUGGGUACACAUCUCACAGUUCAAGAAGACUCCAGCCAACGUCUGGUGCUGGACGAGUGCUGGAGCCCUCCAAAUCAAACUGACUAGGAAGAGAAGUAGCUGAAAUCGAGCUCACUGGAGAUGCUUUCUACUUGCUAGAUGGGAUGCUGUUGGAUUCACAAGUCAAUGAAUAAAGCCAAGUUGAUCUUCAAACUUACUCAGCUGAGUUUUUGUUAUUUAACAAACGAGACUAACAAUAUCUACCCUACAGGGUCAUUAAAUAUAUACAGAGUAUACCUUUAAUGAACCUAAAUUCUAUCCCCCC